GGCUGUUCCAGUCGCUGGCCCCCCAUAUGCACGUUUCUAUUUCAAAUCUCGAAGGAAAAAUAGUGGCUCUGAACUUCGCAUGCAGUCUUUAUGAUUGUUGCGUUGAGUUUACUCCAGUAUUUGCAGAAAUCUAUAAACAGCUCAAGGAAAAUGGAGAGAGCUUUGAGGUUGUGCUAGUGUCCUUGGACAACGACUCUGAUUAUGAUGAAGCCAUAGAAAGCAUGCCUCGGCUUGCAUUUCCUUUCAAUGACAAAUUAAAGCUGUGAUAAGCUUUUUUGCUAUUUUGAUCUCCAGGAAAAUAAUCAUCAUGCUGUCAUCUUGAUUGGAUCGGAUGGGAAAACUAUGAAUUAAUGUUGAUUUAAUUGAACUUAUUAAAGAGUAUGGAUUUGAUGCAUGGGAAGCUUUCCCGUUUUCUCAGGAGAAAUUGCAUGAGUUUUCAGAGAAAGCAAAGGCCAAACUUCACAGACACUCGAGUCACUUCUUGAUUCAGGUGAUCUGGUCUGUCAUUGGAAAAAUAGGAUUGAAGGCAAUGAAUUUUCUUGCUUAACAUGUAAACAACUUCCACAUUUUCUAACUGAACUUUCCUUAUUUUUUCA
Long non-coding RNA from Zingiber officinale, 596 nucleotides. RefSeq lists it as uncharacterized. The transcript is spliced from 2 exons. The record is from RefSeq and is a predicted model, not a curated record. NCBI's taxonomy places the organism in Eukaryota, Viridiplantae, Streptophyta, Magnoliopsida, Zingiberales, Zingiberaceae.